This 524-nucleotide ribosomal RNA is filed under the name uncultured bacterium. RNAcentral's name for it is "bacterial SSU rRNA". It matches the Rfam family "Bacterial small subunit ribosomal RNA", at positions 30 to 518 of the family's 1533-position model. The record is from RNAcentral.
CGAACGCUGGCGGCCGUGCCUAAUACAUGCAAGUCGAACGGUCUUUUCUAUGGAAGCUUGCUUCCACUGAGAAGAUAGUGGCGAACGGGUGAGUAACACGUGGGGUAAACCUGCCCGAUAAGAGGGGGGAUAACAUCCGGAAACGGGUGCUAAUACCGCAUAGUUUUCUUGAUCGCAUGAUCGGGAAAGGAAAGACGGCCUUUGUGCUGUCGCUUAUGGGAUGGACCCCGCGGCGUAUUAGUUAGUUGGUGAGGUAACGGCUCACCAAGACGAUGAUACGUAGCCGACCUGAGAGGGUGAUCGGCCACAUUGGGACUGAGACACGGCCCAAACUCCUACGGGAGGCAGCAGUAGGGAAUCUUCCGCAAUGGACGAAAGUCUGACGGAGCAACGCCGCGUGAGUGAAGAAAAGGUUUUCGGAUCGUAAAACUCUGUUGUCAGAGAAGAACAAGUUGGAGAGUAACUGCUCCAGCCUUGACGGUAUCUGACCAGAAAGCCACGGCUAACUACGUGCCAGCAGCCGC